RNAcentral lists this ribosomal RNA (388 nucleotides) under Typhlodromalus peregrinus. Its description in RNAcentral is "partial small subunit ribosomal RNA". The record is from RNAcentral. Lineage: Eukaryota; Metazoa; Arthropoda; Arachnida; Mesostigmata; Phytoseiidae.
GAUACCCUAUUAGAAUUAGUUGAUAUUUAGUAGUAAGUGAAUACCAUGAAACUAAAAUUAAUUGGCGGCUUCUUAAAUAUUUUAGAGGAAUUUAUCCUUUAAAGGAUUAAACACCAAAAUCUUACUUUUACUUGUAUAAUCAAUUUGUAUACCCCUAUUUUCGUAUAUUAUAAGAUAUGCUAAAUAUUUGAUAAGAUUAAAUUUUAGGCAACGGUGCAGUUAAUGUAAAAGAAUGAGAUAAAUUAUAUUAAUUUAUAUUUAACAAGAUUAAAUUUUGUAAUAAUUUAAUUUAGGAAAAUUUAAAAGUAAGAGUAGUUUAUAAUUACUACUUUGAAUAAAGAUUUAGUAUGUGUACAUAUCGCCCGUCGCUCUCCUUUGGAGAUAAGCC